ACCUGGAUAGCUCAGCUGGCUAGAGCGUGGAGCUAUUACUGUAAUGCCAGGGUUGCAGGUUCAAUCCCCGUAUGGGACA
Non-coding RNA from Podarcis lilfordi (Lilford's wall lizard), 79 nucleotides. The record is from the annotation of a GenBank genome assembly. Lineage: Eukaryota; Metazoa; Chordata; Lepidosauria; Squamata; Lacertidae.